GGCAGUUUGAGAAGACGUCUGACCACCUGUUCGACGCGGCCUACUACGGCCAGAAGGACGUCAUCACGGGCGUGUCUGAGUGCAUCAUCAUGGGCAUGCCCACCUCGCUGGGUACCGGCCUCUUCAAGCUGCUCCAGAAGACCACCAAGGUGUCCGCGCCGCCGCAGCGCAAGCUGCUGUUCGGCUCCCCGGAGCUGCACGCGCCGGGCUUCAGCUAGCAAACUGCCACCUGUAGGCAGUGAUGGGAAGCUGGAGUUCCCAGUUCUGAUACUGCAGCGCGACGGUCGUGCUGUGUUUCUGAUGUGUGGGUGAUGAAAUCAGCGAGGGUUGGUUUGUUAUUGCGUCGGAGGAAAUACAGAUAUGUGUUUUGAAGA
Long non-coding RNA from Pollicipes pollicipes, 374 nucleotides. RefSeq lists it as uncharacterized. The record is from RefSeq and is a predicted model, not a curated record. Lineage: Eukaryota; Metazoa; Arthropoda; Thecostraca; Pollicipedomorpha; Pollicipedidae. The transcript is spliced from 2 exons.